AACGAACGCUGGCGGUAUGCUUAACACAUGCAAGUUGAACGGUAACGAUGGGAAGCUUGCUUUCCAGGCGACGAGUAGCGGACGGGUGAGUAAUGCAUAGGAGUCUGCCCAGUAGCGGGGGACAACUCGGAGAAAUCCGAGCUAAUACCGCAUACGCCCUACGGGGGAAAGCGGAGGAUCUUCGGACUUCGCACUAUUGGAUGAGCCUAUGUCGGAUUAGCUUGUUGGUGGGGUAAUGGCCUACCAAGGCAACGAUCUGUAGCUGGUCUGAGAGGACGAUCAGCCACACUGGGACUGAGACACGGCCCAGACUCCUACGGAGGCAGCAGUGGGGAAUAUUGGACAAUGGGCGCAAGCCUGAUCCAGCAAUGCCGCGUGUGUGAAGAAGGCCUGCGGGUUGUAAAGCACUUUCAAUCGUGAAAAAAAGCUACAUGGUUAAUACCCAUGAGUCUUGAUGUUAACGAUACAAGAAGCACCGGCUAAC
This 484-nucleotide ribosomal RNA is filed under the name uncultured bacterium. RNAcentral's name for it is "bacterial SSU rRNA". It matches the Rfam family "Bacterial small subunit ribosomal RNA", at positions 29 to 501 of the family's 1533-position model. The record is from RNAcentral.